RNAcentral lists this ribosomal RNA (240 nucleotides) under uncultured Acinetobacter sp. RNAcentral's name for it is "partial 16S ribosomal RNA". It matches the Rfam family "Bacterial small subunit ribosomal RNA", at positions 1126 to 1378 of the family's 1533-position model. The record is from RNAcentral. Lineage: Bacteria; Pseudomonadati; Pseudomonadota; Gammaproteobacteria; Moraxellales; Moraxellaceae.
UUCGGAUGGGAACUUUAAGGAUACUGCCAGUGACAAACUGGAGGACGUCAAGUCAUCAUGGCCUUACGGCCAGGGCUACACACGUGCUACAAUGGUCGGUACAGAGGGUUGCUACACAGCGAUGUGAUGCUAAUCUCAAAAAGCCGAUCGUAGUCCGGAUUGGAGUCUGCAACUCGACUCCAUGAAGUCGGAAUCGCUAGUAAUCGCGGAUCAGAAUGCCGCGGUGAAUACNUUCCCGGG